RNAcentral lists this ribosomal RNA (425 nucleotides) under uncultured bacterium. Its description in RNAcentral is "partial 16S ribosomal RNA". It matches the Rfam family "Bacterial small subunit ribosomal RNA", at positions 354 to 796 of the family's 1533-position model. The record is from RNAcentral.
GUGGGGAAUCUUGCGCAAUGGGCGAAAGCCUGACGCAGCCAUGCCGCGUGAAUGAUGAAGGUCUUAGGAUUGUAAAGUUCUUUCACCGGGGACGAUAAUGACGGUACCCGGAGAAGAAGCCCCGGCUAACUUCGUGCCAGCAGCCGCGGUAAUACGAAGGGGGCUAGCGUUGCUCGGAAUUACUGGGCGUAAAGUGAGCGUAGGCGGAUAGUUCAGUCAGAGGUGAAAGCCCAGGGCUCAACCUUGGAAUUGCCUUUGAUACUGGCUGUCUUGAGUAUGGGAGAGGUUAGCGGAACUCCGAGUGUAGAGGUGAAAUUCGUAGAUAUUCGGAAGAACACCAGUGGCGAAGGCGGCUAACUGGCCCAUUACUGACGCUGAGGCUCGAAAGCGUGGGGAGCAAACAGGAUUAGAUACCCUUGUAGUCC